GACGAGCUCUCCAAACGUUAUUCGGUAUCACUGGGCUUAAAGAGUUCGUAGGCGGUCUGGUAGGUGAGGUGUGAAAUCCCUGGGCUCAACCCAGGAACUGCGUCCGAUACUGGUUGGCUUGAAUCCGGGAGAGGGAUGUGGAAUUCCAGGUGUAGCGGUGAAAUGCGUAGAUAUCUGGAGGAACACCGGUGGCGAAGGCGACAUCCUGGACCGGCAUUGACGCUGAGGCGCGAAAGCCAGGGGAGCAAACGGG
RNAcentral lists this ribosomal RNA (253 nucleotides) under uncultured bacterium. RNAcentral describes it as "partial 16S ribosomal RNA". It matches the Rfam family "Bacterial small subunit ribosomal RNA", at positions 524 to 776 of the family's 1533-position model. The record is from RNAcentral.